AUGGAGGUAAGACUGAGCUGGGUUUUCCUUGUGGUUCUGUUCAAAGGUGUCCAGUGUGAGGUGCAGCUGGUGGAGUCGGGGGGAGGUGCAGCCUGCAAAUUCCCUGAAACUCUCCUGUGCAGCCUCUGGAUUCACCUUCAGUGACCACUGGAUGAACUGGGUCCGCCAGGCUCCAGGCAAGGGGCUGGAGUGGGUUGCUGUAAUUAAACACAAACCUAAUAACUAUGAAACACACUAUGGGGAGUCUGUGAGAGGCUCAAGAGAUGACUCCAAAAGCAGCCUCUACCUGCAAAUGAACAACUUAGGAGCUGAGGACACCGCCAUUUAUUACUGUGCAAGACACAGUGUCUACUCCCAGGUUGAGCUGCAGCAGUCUGGUCCUCAGCUGGUGAAGCCUGGCUUCUCAGUGAAGUUGUCCUGCAAAGCUUCUGGCAUCACCUUCACUGACUACUAUGUUAUCUGGGUGAAGCAGAGUCCUGGACAGGGACUAGAGUUGGUUGGAGAUAUUGAUCCUGAAAAUGAUAAUACUGACUACAAUCAAAAGUUCCAGGGUGCCCACUCCCAGGUCCAGCUGCAGCAGUCUGGUCCUGAGAUGUUGAAGCCUGGGGCCUCAGUGAAGAUGUCCUGCAACACUUGA
Molecule: non-coding RNA, 637 nt
Organism: Cricetulus griseus (Chinese hamster)
Lineage: Eukaryota; Metazoa; Chordata; Mammalia; Rodentia; Cricetidae
Source: the annotation of a RefSeq genome assembly